This is a long non-coding RNA of Cyprinus carpio (common carp), 1231 nucleotides long. RefSeq lists it as uncharacterized. The record is from RefSeq and is a predicted model, not a curated record. NCBI's taxonomy places the organism in Eukaryota, Metazoa, Chordata, Actinopteri, Cypriniformes, Cyprinidae.
GCAGUCACAAACACCCCCCAACCCCACCCUAACCGGGAGUCUGUCUCCAGAGUAACUGUGGGGGACUACUCCCAUGUUAGCCAAUAGACCUUUAACAUCCAGAUGUUGAGGACAACUACAGAUGUAGAAUCAAGUUAAUUUGUCACAACUCACACAUGGGUAUGAGAACAGACACCCAGAGCUGAUUUCAUCGGUAGUCAAUCAACAACUGGCCACAAUAAUCCGUGAAAUUGGCAUCUGUUCAUGCAAAUGCAUCAUAAUGUCAUGAAAUCCAUUUCAGUGAUUUAAAUCUUGUAUAGAAAUUAAACAAAACAUUGUCCUUUAGGAAUACAUUUUUGCAAACCCCUCAUACACCCUCAAGAUGCACUUUCCUCCUGUGGUAUUAUUAACUACUUAUGCAGGUUUGGCUAUAGAUAAAAGUUGAAGAAACUAAUAUGAUAUGCAAAAAACAUGUCUUUGGAUCUGUCCACCAACUUUUUUGGUAAAAUUUCAAGUUUAUCCCAAGGGUGGGAGAGUUUGGGUGUGGGCUCACACACUUGCGUGAGAGCGAGACCUGAUGCUAAGUAACUGUUCAGGGUCUGAUAUAGGGAACGAUUCUGAUUGGUCAGCAGACUGAAGGGCAAAGACAUGAUAAGGAUGGAACAGCCUUUGUGUCAUCAUAUGCAAAUGAGCAGUGAGCAUUAAAACUCACGAGCAAGGGAGCAACGUUUACGAUCGCUUAACGGCAUGGAGACGACAGACUUGUGAAAAAAGUGAGAAGACGGGUAAAGGUGACAGAUGAAGCCAAUUAAACUGUUUUUCAACACUUCCUGCAGGAGUACUGAGGCCACAGAUCUGAAGACAGGAUAUCAUCGUAUACUGUAAGUUCAUUAUUGAGACACUACAGUAUAGAUGAUGUACUAUCCAGGGGGUCAACACACCUCCAACUGUCUCCUGUGGACCCGCAAACAUUGUGACAGAGAGUGGCGGUGAAACCGUUACCAUUACUGAGUUUAGUAAUGGUAAGGGUUCUGUUGCCUUCUCUCAAAAAUCAUCUGGAUAUGAUGGAACUUCAGAGCAACGGAGGGCGCAGUCAAAAUCAGAUGAGUGAACGGAUGGACACAAACACCAGAAAGACCAAUGUUAAGCAGAUGUGAAAUUCUGAAUCAUUUGUAUUUUAUACAACCUAUAAUGUGUUAUAUAAUACUGCCAUUGUGUGUACUUUAAAUAAAUAUCAUUGAACUGAAAUUAA